UGGGGAAUCUUGGACAAUGGGCGAAAGCCUGAUGGAGCAACGCCGCGUGUGUGAUGAAGGGUUUCGGCUCGUAAAACACUGUUGUAAGAGAAGAAUGACAUUGAGAGUAACUGUUCAAUGUGUGACGGUAUCUUACCAGAAAGGAACGGCUAAAUACGCGCCAG
This 164-nucleotide ribosomal RNA is filed under the name uncultured bacterium. Its description in RNAcentral is "partial 16S rRNA". It matches the Rfam family "Bacterial small subunit ribosomal RNA", at positions 355 to 511 of the family's 1533-position model. The record is from RNAcentral.